UGCAGUCGAGCGGAACGAUGGAAGCUUGCUUCCGGCGUCGAGCGGCGGACGGGUGAGUAAUGCNUGGGAAUCUGCCCGAUAGUGGGGGAUAACCUGGGGAAACCCAGGCUAAUACCGCAUACGUCCUACGGGAGAAAGCAGGGGAUCUUCGGACCUUGCGCUAUCGGAUGAGCCCAUGUCGGAUUAGCUUGUUGGUGAGGUAAUGGCUCACCAAGGCGACGAUCCGUAGCUGGUCUGAGAGGAUGAUCAGCCACAUCGGGACUGAGACACGGCCCGAACUCCUACGGGAGGCAGCAGUGGGGAAUAUUGGACAAUGGGCGAAAGCCUGAUCCAGCCAUGCCGCGUGUGUGAAGAAGGCCCUCGGGUUGUAAAGCACUUUCAGUGGGGAAGAAAGCCUUGGGAUUAAUACUNCCGAGGAAGGACAUCACCCACAGAAGAAGCACCGGCUAACUCCGUGCCAGCAGCCGCGGUAAUACGGAGGGUGCGAGCGUUAAUCGGAAUUACUGGGCGUAAAGCGCGCGUAGGCGGUCUGAUNAGCCGGUUGUGAAAGCCCCGGGCUCAACCUGGGAACGGCAUCCGGAACUGUCAGGCUAGAGUGCANGAGAGGAAGGUAGAAUUCCCGGUGUAGCGGUGAAAUGCGUAGAGAUCGNNAGGAAUACCAGUGGCGAA
RNAcentral lists this ribosomal RNA (669 nucleotides) under Halomonas mongoliensis. RNAcentral's name for it is "bacterial SSU rRNA". It matches the Rfam family "Bacterial small subunit ribosomal RNA", at positions 56 to 719 of the family's 1533-position model. The record is from RNAcentral. Lineage: Bacteria; Pseudomonadati; Pseudomonadota; Gammaproteobacteria; Oceanospirillales; Halomonadaceae.